UGGGGAAUAUUGCACAAUGGGGGGGAACCCGUGAUGCAGCGACGCCGCGUGAGUGAAGAAGUACCUCGGUAUGUAAAGCUCUGUCAGCAGGGAAGAAAGAAAUGACGGUACCUGACCAAGAAGCACCGGCUAAAUACGUGCC
This 142-nucleotide ribosomal RNA is filed under the name uncultured bacterium. RNAcentral describes it as "partial 16S ribosomal RNA". It matches the Rfam family "Bacterial small subunit ribosomal RNA", at positions 355 to 509 of the family's 1533-position model. The record is from RNAcentral.